AAACUCACUGCCGAGCGAAAUACAACGAGCGGUGGUCAAGCUAACGCGUGAAGUUUCCCGCCUGGGGAUUACGCUUGCAAAAGUGAAACUCAAAGGAAUUGACGGGGACCCGCACAAGCGGUGGAGUAUGUGGUUUAAUUCGAUGCAACACGAAGAACCUUACCAGGGUUUGAAAUCAUUUCAAAACUCCUUGAAAGAGGAGCCUCCUUCGGGAUGAAAUGACAGGUGGUGCAUGGCUGUCGUCAGCUCGUGUUGUGAAAUGUCGAGUUAAGUCUCGUAACGAGCGCAACCCAUGUCUCUUGUUGCUCACUGAGUGCUUAAGAGAGACUGCCGACCAACAUCGGAGGAAGGUGUGGAUGAUGUCAAGUCAGCAUGCCCCUUACAUCCUGGGCUACACACGUACUACAAUGGUAGGGACAAUGAGCUGCGAUCCUGCGAAGGCUAGCCAAUCUCAAAAACCCUAUCUCAGUUCGGAUUGUACUCUGCAACUCGAGUACAUGAAGGUGGAAUCGCUAGUAAUCGCUGGUCAGCUAUACAGCGGUGAAUACGUUCCCGGGUCUUGUACACAC
RNAcentral lists this ribosomal RNA (569 nucleotides) under uncultured marine bacterium. RNAcentral's name for it is "bacterial SSU rRNA". It matches the Rfam family "Bacterial small subunit ribosomal RNA", at positions 813 to 1390 of the family's 1533-position model. The record is from RNAcentral.